GUGAGCUCAGCAUCAAAGUGCCGUUGCCAUGGUGACCUGGGGUUUGAUCUUGGAGCGUCAGUUAAGGAGGUGUCGAGACCGAUCGGCUCAACUUCCACGUUAAGUACCGAUUUACAGUGACGUCGGGGGGACGGAAGAGUGGGAGACACUUGACCACCAGCUCACGAGUUGAAGCCGCUUCUCACGUGAACGAGUCGACUCCACCACGCGGUCGGCUGCUGACCAGACGUCGUCCGCUAGCGAUCACCUUACAUUUGUGCAAAAAGUCUCGUCUGAGGCCGUUUGCUGUUUCCUGAGUCCCACUGAGGUCAGUGAUGUCACAACACACAGACACCUCCUUCUCCGUGUGCCCCGGGACAACAGGGAGGACGGAUGGAGACGGAUGGAGACGGAUGGAGACGGAUGGAGACGGAUGGAGACGGAUGGAGACGGAUGGAGGAGGUAGAGAAGUUUCCCCGUCACCUACACCCCAUAAAUCCUCUCCGGCCCUGCCGCCUCUCACCUGACACGACAGCUGAGACAUAAACCCCAGCAGGGGUCCGCUUCAGGUUUCUAUCACCUAACUACAGACCCAGACACAUAAAAGGACUCCUCUGAUCCAACCAGAAAACUUUGCUAGUUAGCUUCCUCAGCUAACUAGCAGCUCACAUGAGCUGUACUGUGUUAGCAAGCUGCAGUAGCCUUUGUUUUAGCUAGUUAGCAUUAGGUUACAAUCUGUAAACAUAAAACGCUGAGUGCCUAACCCUAUCCCAAGUGACGAACAACUGUAUGUUAGCAUGUCCCGUCAUACUUUUACUUAAUUAAACCAUUAUCAACAUUUUAACAAUGUUCUCUUUUUAAUCAACCAAUUCAUGCUUAUAGUUUAAGCCAAAAAAAUUAGCAUGGUGUGGCACUUGGUAGCGCAUUAGCUUUAACUCCGCUGGCUAGUUAGUGUUAGCAGUGGUAGCCUAGCUUGAAUAUUAUCUUCAUCUUUCUAAAAUGUGUUCAUAUAAAUUUUCAAGUGCUGAUAGGACACGGACAGAUCUGGCAGGGAAGAGGUUUUUCGUUAGCUGGACCAUGCUAGUGACGUUAGCUCCUGUUUGACAGUUUCGCUGAAGUUGAAAGUUUCAAAAGUUUAUUUUGCUUAAUAAAUACCUAAAUGUUGUGCUUUGCCUUUAUGUCACAUUGAGCUGAAGUAAAAAUGAACCUGUAGCUAACGUUAGCAGCAUGAUAACAGGCUAGCAUCGUUUACUGGCCCAGAGACCAGAGGCAAACUGACAAAACUGACACCUGCAGAAAGUAAAUAGACUCGGCCUCAUCUCAUCAA
Molecule: long non-coding RNA, 1306 nt
Organism: Scophthalmus maximus (turbot)
Lineage: Eukaryota; Metazoa; Chordata; Actinopteri; Pleuronectiformes; Scophthalmidae
Exons: 2
Source: RefSeq, a predicted model, not a curated record